Molecule: non-coding RNA, 1315 nt
Organism: Callithrix jacchus (white-tufted-ear marmoset)
Lineage: Eukaryota; Metazoa; Chordata; Mammalia; Primates; Cebidae
Source: RefSeq, a predicted model, not a curated record
AGAGCUGCAGGCCGGAGCACAGCAAGGGAAGAUGCAUCCAACUGCCUGCCCCAGGCCCUCAUCCAGAGACCCUUGCAAGACAGGCAAGGAGAAGGCCAGAGGGUAGAAGCCACCCUCCCCCACCUCGAGAGCUUUUACCUCUCGUGCUCACCUGGCGACAGAUGUAUAGGCGAACGCCGAGGUCAGCUUGGAGGGACAGCUGUACCACAGCCAGCAGAUCUGAGAGGUUGUACCUGCCCCCAGGAACAGCUUGUAGAGGCCCUGGCAGAGCUGGGGGGAAACAGUCCCCUCGGACAAGCAGGCAACUAGACCCUGGAGACCACACUCCCGCAGCCGAAGGCGCUGGCGGCUCCGCUCAGGUAGCCUCUCGUUCUGCUGCAGUCUGUGCAGGAUCUGUGUGGGGUCAUAGGGGGACUAUCAUCAUGGGGAAGGAGUUACUGUAGGAGGGGAAGUCACUGUGCUGGUGUACAGCUCAAGAGGCCCUUGAAGGCAGCUUCAUCUGCUGGCCCAAGGCCUGCUGUGCCUCCCUAGACCCCAGGCAGGGGCCCCAGUGAAUGGGAUGCCAGUGGGCUGGGUGUACCUUGCAGACUCGGUCGGGCAGCAGGGGCAGUGACCCUGGCCUCACCAGCAGGGCCAGCAGCACUUCGAGGUUCCCUGGCUCCAACAGAAAGAUAGCCAAGGACUCCUGUGCCAGGGAGCCCUGCAGCAGGGCCAGCAGCAAGUCCAGUGCACCCACCACCUGGAGAUGCAGGGUCUCAGGGUCUCAUACUGCAACAGGACCCGACCCGGCCCACACCCCCCCCACCCAAGCCUCACCCUCCCCAACCUCCAGCCUACCUGGCCAUCAUCGCCCGUGGCCACCAAAAAGCUCAGCAGGAUCUGCAUGACCUGCAUGUCAUCGGCUGAGAGGCUCCGCACCAGGAACUCCCUCGCCAGUCCCAGGAGGGAGGUCUGCACAGUGCGCAGGUCGUCAGCAGCCAGGGGGCGCUCCCGCUGCAGGCUGGCAGGUCAGCAGGCACAACCAGCCAGGUCGCCGAGAAAGGCAGGGAGAGAGUGGGUAGCUUCUGUCUGUGCUCCCGAACUAUGCUGGACAUGUACUGGAUGUGGCCUAAGCGGGCAUGAGCGGGGGCUUUCAGAUCCUCCAGGCCAGGGCCAUGCACUUGUCAGACUUCCAGGGCAGAGUCACAGUCCCCUCACCACACCACGGCAUUCUGGAUUCCUAUCAGGUGAGUCCCUCAGAGCCCUCAGUUCUAACUUCUCAGUGCUCAGCAGCCCUGUGGCCGGCCCUCACUCAGGUCCUCACACCUACCGAGGC